GACGAACGCUGGCGGCGUGCUUAACACAUGCAAGUCGAACGGAAAGGCCCUGCUUUUGUUGCUUGCUCGAGUGGCGAACGGGUGAGUAAUACGUGAGUAACCUUCCCUUUACUUUGGGAUAACUUCAGGAAACUGGGGUUCAGACCGGAUAGGCGCUCCUGCUGCAUGGUGGUGGUUGGCAUGUUUCGGCGGUUGUGGAUGGACUCCCGGUUUAUCAGCUUGUUGGUGGGGUAGUGGCUUACCAAGGCUUUGACGGGCAGCCGGCCUGGGCGGGUGACCGGCAAAAUUGGGACUGAGAUCCGGCCAGGCCUCCUACGGGAGGCAGCAGUGGGGAAUAUUGAACAAGGGGCGGAGGCCUGAUGAGCCAACGCGGCGUGCGGGAUGCCGGCUUUCGGGUGGAAACCGGUUUUAGCAGGUGACGAGGCGGGAGUGACGGUAAUGGGUAAAGAAGCACCGGCUAACUACGUG
RNAcentral lists this ribosomal RNA (468 nucleotides) under uncultured bacterium. RNAcentral describes it as "partial 16S ribosomal RNA". It matches the Rfam family "Bacterial small subunit ribosomal RNA", at positions 28 to 507 of the family's 1533-position model. The record is from RNAcentral.